Zingiber officinale is the source of this 990-nucleotide long non-coding RNA. RefSeq lists it as uncharacterized. The record is from RefSeq and is a predicted model, not a curated record. The transcript is spliced from 4 exons. NCBI's taxonomy places the organism in Eukaryota, Viridiplantae, Streptophyta, Magnoliopsida, Zingiberales, Zingiberaceae.
GAAUUUUCCUAAAUUCAAAAUUUCCCUUGCCACUCUCUCGCUCCCUCUCGCCUUUUCCUUCGUCGUCGUCUUCCAUCGCAGCUAACUGAAGCUCCCCAAACUACGCAUCGAACACAGGCCUGCAGCCGGUGUAAAAACCCCCCUUUCUCCAUUCUCAAUCGCCAGUAACUUGCCAAACAUCAAUUUCAUCAGUAUUUCAUAACCAAUGGUAAACAUAAUUGGUGUAAUGCUAUAUAUGACUAUAUAAGCCCACAAUUGGGGCCCAUUGGUGUGAUGCAUUUACAGAGGCCGAAGCCAGAGGGCCUUGAGGGAAAUCUAGUUCCUAUACUCAAAGGGUUCACACAUCUCCUUGCUGUGUGGAUGUGUGAACAUGUCAGAAUAAUGCAUCCUUAUAGACAACAUGCCCUUCCAAGAAUAUGCAGAUGAAAGUGGUCAGGCUUCCGUGUGGAGACAAUAAAGUUUAAGAUCGUAUAAUUACCUGCGACCAAACUAAUUGUUGAUUUAACUCCAUCAGAUCUAGAGAUACAUCUUCUCACAAAUAAAUCUCUAGUAGAUAUUGUGGAGCAUAUAGAUCAACAAAUUGUUGAGGGGUUUAUACAAUCAAUUUCUGAGGAAAAUCUUAAACAAGUUCCUGAGCAAUUUCCUGAACAGGCAACCGAAGCUCUGGAAAAUCCAGAAUAAGUUCCAAACAAUUUCCUGAACAGACAGCUGAAGCUCAGGAAAAUCUUGAACAAGUUUCUUAGCAAUUACUGCAGAAUAUAUUCAGGAGAAAGAGGCUUGUACAAAUUUUCAAGCAAGGGAGGGCGAAAUUGAUCAUUUGGAGUCUAUGGUUGAGGGCAAAGACAAAAUCAUUGCCUAGAUGGAGGCUAGAAUUAGUGAGUUAAUUGUGUUGGAACCUCAAGGUUGUUUUGGUGUGAUCAACAAGUUAAGUUAGGUCCUGUGUGUUUCUAACCUUGUGUCUAAGUGUGCAGGAGCUUAGGAGCACAAGUA